RNAcentral lists this ribosomal RNA (215 nucleotides) under uncultured bacterium. RNAcentral describes it as "partial 16S ribosomal RNA". It matches the Rfam family "Bacterial small subunit ribosomal RNA", at positions 1286 to 1500 of the family's 1533-position model. The record is from RNAcentral.
UCCCAGUUCAGAUUGCAGGCUGCAACUCGCCUGCAUGAAGUCGGAAUCGCUAGUAAUCGCGGAUCAGAAUGCCGCGGUGAAUACGUUCCCGGGUCUUGUACACACCGCCCGUCACACCAUGGGAGUCGGGAAUGCCCGAAGCCGGUGGCCCAACCUUAGGGAGGGAGCCGUCGAAGGCAGGCCCGGUGACUGGGGUGAAGUCGUAACAAGGUACC